GAAGAUCGAUCGCGGACGAACGUCUCGCCAACCCGGUCAGGUCCGGAAGGAAGCAGCCGUAACGAGUUUUUGUU
RNAcentral lists this signal recognition particle RNA (74 nucleotides) under Rhodospirillaceae bacterium. RNAcentral describes it as "partial signal recognition particle sRNA small type". It matches the Rfam family "Bacterial small signal recognition particle RNA", at positions 1 to 73 of the family's 97-position model. From Rfam's summary of the family: The signal recognition particle (SRP) is a universally conserved ribonucleoprotein involved in the co-translational targeting of proteins to membranes. Archaeal SRP consists of a 7S RNA and homologues of the eukaryotic SRP19 and SRP54 proteins. The record is from RNAcentral. Lineage: Bacteria; Pseudomonadati; Pseudomonadota; Alphaproteobacteria; Rhodospirillales; Rhodospirillaceae.